Molecule: ribosomal RNA, 490 nt
Filed under: uncultured bacterium
Lineage: Bacteria
Description: partial 16S ribosomal RNA
Rfam family: Bacterial small subunit ribosomal RNA
Source: RNAcentral
AUUGAACGCUGGCGGCAGGCCUAACACAUGCAAGUCGAACGGUAACAGGAAGCAGCUUGCUGCUUUGCUGACGAGUGGCGGACGGGUGAGUAAUGUCUGGGAAACUGCCUGAUGGAGGGGGAUAACUACUGGAAACGGUAGCUAAUACCGCAUAACGUCGCAAGACCAAAGAGGGGGACCUUCGGGCCUCUUGCAUUCGGAUGUGCCCAGAUGGGAUUAGCUAGUAGGUGGGGUAACGGCUCACCUAGGCGACGAUCCCUAGCUGGUCUGAGAGGAUGACCAGCCACACUGGAACUGAGACACGGUCCAGACUCCUACGGGAGGCAGCAGUGGGGAAUAUUGCACAAUGGGCGCAAGCCUGAUGCAGCCAUGCCGCGUGUAUGAAGAAGGCCUUCGGGUUGUAAAGUACUUUCAGCGGGGAGGAAGGGAGUAAAGUUAAUACCUUUGCUCAUUGACGUUACCCGCAGAAGAAGCACCGGCUAACUCCGUG